GAUGAACGCUGGCGGCGUGCCUAAUACAUGCAAGUCGAGCGAACGGACGAGAAGCUUGCUUCUCUGAUGUUAGCGGCGGACGGGUGAGUAACACGUGGAUAACCUACCUAUAAGACUGGGAUAACUUCGGGAAACCGUAGCUAAUACCUGAUAAUAUUUUGAACCGCAUGGUUCAAAAGUGAAAGACGGUCUUGCUGUCACUUAUAGAUGGAUCCGCGCUACAUUAGCUAGUUGGUAAGGUAACGGCUUACCAAGGCAACGAUGCAUAGCCGACCUGAGAGGGUGAUCGGCCACACUGGAACUGAGACACGGUCCAGACUCCUACGGGAGGCAGCAGUAGGGAAUCUUACGCAAUGGGCGAAAGCCUGACGGAGCAACGCCGCGUGAGUGAUGAAGGUCUUCGGAUCGUAAAACUCUGUUAUUAGGGAAGAACAUAUGUGUAAGUAACUGUGCACAUCUUGACGGUACCUAAUCAGAAAGCCACGGCUAACUACGUG
Molecule: ribosomal RNA, 497 nt
Filed under: uncultured bacterium
Lineage: Bacteria
Description: partial 16S ribosomal RNA
Rfam family: Bacterial small subunit ribosomal RNA
Source: RNAcentral